AUCGACGUCGCCGUCCUCGGCGCUGCUGUCCAGGGGCGCCCCGCCGAAGCUGUCCAGCGCCUCCUCGGCGUCGCGGUGCUGCCGAGAGUGCCGGGGGAAGGUCUCACACUGCAGGAAGAGCGGCCCCUGCCCUGUGGGAGCCCGGAGGCCAGCAGGUAGAUGGGUCUGUGGAAGGGCAGUAGCAAAGCCGCCUAGAAGCAUUUUGUCUUUUGCUGUGUUUGCUGCCAGCAGCUCUGUAGGAACGCGCUUACGGCGCAGCCGGACAGCUGAGGCCCUGCGUGAUUCCUCGCUGGGAAUUUCGCUGUCGAGCUCCGAGGUGGCUGUGGGGCUGAAAGGGAUGUUCUGCAGCUUCUGUAACUUCGUUUUCCCUUCCUGCCUGGGCGCCUGCGGGAAGGUGGCAUGGGACCUUAGAAGCGACCUGAAAAGCCGUGUUGAAAAGCAGGUAAUUUGUUUAAAGAUAGCCUUCAUACACCCCAGCAGGGGAGGCCACACUUAAGUGACCUGAGAGAUCUCUUUGAAGAUCCUCAGGCUGUAACUAGCGAAGGAAGGUCAGUAGCUGUGGAAGAGUCUGAUAUUUCAGAAGAGGCGCGAGAGAGUUUGCAACCAGCAACGCGUGGGUAAGGGCUGCCCUGCAAUCCGGAGCAAGGGAGCCCGUCAAACGGGAGCUCUGGGGGAAAUAUGAACUCAAAAAUGGUCAGGUUUGUAUUUACACGUUAUUUUGAGGUGGGAAAUAAAAGGUAUUGUCGCGUUUGAAGCUUACGUUGAAGCGGGAGAAGUGAGAACUGAAGUUCUUUAUUAAAUAAGAAGCAUGGCACAAAAUAAUUGUGUACUAAGGUACAAAGACUUGGCUUUGCGCUGUAGAUCAUGACAUGGUUUGAGCUCAUUUAAGUAAUGAUAGUUGCUACGAUCAGGUGGGUAGCUGUUGAUUUAUACAAAACAAAUGUUUUGAGUCAGUUCAGCAGGUGCUGCGCAUCAACAAAGUUCUGCUUUAAGCUUGCUCUGUAGGUGUAUGAAAUUCUGAUUAUGCAUUUCUGAAAAAAAAUAUUUUGCGCAAAUGGGAAUGCUUUAAUAAAACAAACCAGGUUCUUUUCAGGAUUUUCUAGCUUCUGGACAAAAAAUGAUAAUUUUCCACAGAAGUUUGGUUAAUCCUGAAUCGUAUGGUGCACUCCUCUCCCCUACUCUAGCGAAAGAUAACAAUAUUAUACCUGUAUCUUAGUUUGGUGUGUAUCAGAGCUUUUUAAAGAGUCUUGCUGGCCUCAGAAUACCUACUUUUACUGGGCUGGUGUCUCAACCUGCAAGUCUCCGUCUUGCGCUGCGAUGAUUCCGAAGUGUAUCUCUUUACUCUACAAAGACUUUCAAGACUGAUGGAUUGCUCUAAUCCACUGUGUACGUGAGCUGAACAUAUGAAUGAAUUUUUCACAGUGAGAAAUACCCACAUCUGGUCUUUUGGAUUUCAGAUGAGCUGUGUGUGUCUCCCUGUGCCGUUAGACUUGCGUCAUAGACAAUAUAAUAAUUUGCAGAGGCAAGAUUAUGCAUCUGGUGACCCGUAUCGCUCCACUGACUUCAGUAGAGUUAGAGAACGAGUGAAGUGAUUGAUUGAGUGAAAGUCUAGGUCCUACGUGAGCAAGCUGAGAGCAGUUCACCAUAUCCUUCCCUGUCAGUUGUCUUCCCUAUACUGGGAAGAGAAAAUAGCCAGGGAGUGCUUAAUGUGAAGGUAGAUGUGCGUGCCCAGGAAUUAUCCACUAUUGCUGCAAUAGUUCUUGUCAUUUUUACUAAGUUAAAUUAGUAUUUGCUAAGUUUUACUUGUUAGAAAGCGUUAAAACAACUUUAAGAGUGCUGAGGGAGGCACAGAGUUGUAGGUUGUUCAGAUAGCUCACAGGCUGCUGGGAAAGGGGUUCUGGCACAGCAGCAGGUAAUGCUAUCAGAAAAUCGCAAAGUAACUUAAAGGACAUGAGCCUUGGAGCUACAUUUUGUUUCCACGAGCUAAUUCUCGCAACUGGUGAGGGAUUUUAAUAAUUUGUGAUGAUUUUAACGAUUCUGAGAACUUCAGUGCUUUCUACUCUUAACUCCAAGUCAGUUUUCCUCUCAAUGUGGGGGAUGAUUUAGCGUAUAUUCCCUAAUACUCCUAAGCUUGGUGAGUAAUAACUUCGGAGCCAAGUUCAAGCUUUUUUGUUUCUCUUUGUGUUUGUAUGAAGUCAUUUUUACCACUUAUGGAAGACACUGGACUGAUAGAUCAAAAGAGCAUCGUAGAGGCGCAGAAAGCACACAGAGGGUCUUUGCUUUAUGCCUCCGUGCUUUACCAGCAGAGCAAGAGUAGCUCGUUCGGCAAGCCUGUUUGGUCUCUGCAUUCGCUGAGAUACACGGCAAGGAUACCAAGGACGGGGACAGCUAAUGAAGCACCCGCUCCUUGACUUUAAGGCUACAUAGUCCAAGUUCAGCAACAAGUUUAUGUUCAAGGAAAGCUUUUUUAUGAAAACUUUUUGACCCAUUCUAACAGCAGCAACAACGUAAAGAGGGAAAAGAGACCCUAAAAAAAAAAAAACCCUGUGACUUUAUGCGCAAGAUAACCGUGAAUAUGAGUGGAGAGCAAGUCGAAAAUAUUUUAGACCUGGAGGAAGUUCAGAGGGAGGGAGAGAUUUAUUUGUGAGAGCUGUAAUUUCAAAACAAAAGGCAGCCAGGGCUGGAACACCGGUUUUGCAAAUGCAUGUGUGCUAUAAUCCAUGACAAUACAACAGUGUUUCAGCGCAGUUCUUUAUCAGUUGUAGAUUACAUCAUGCUGUGAAUUGCUCUGUCUGUUAAUAUUGAUCCUUGUAAAUCAUUUGGUUUAAGGUCUUCAAAUGGAAAGCUGUGAUGCACUUCAGCAUGUAAUGUAUUCGCUCUGUCCCUGAAACUCAUUUAAAAACAAACAAAGCUGCACUUGCAUAGAUGAUAUUACUUUUCUGAAAGGUUAGAUGUACCCCUGUAGACUGUCGAUAGCUGGAUGAAAGCCCUCCAUGGCAAGAAUGAGAAUGAAGGAGAAAACUCUUGUUUGGUGCUUGAUGUUGGCUGAAGGAGCCGUAGAAGUGCCGCGUGUCUGAAGAGCUGUGAAGCACAGAGCCCGAUUUCAAGAAGUCCUGCUGUUUUUAACAAGAACAGCCGCAGGAGGAGAAAUUGUGGCUGAAUUCUAGUUCCCCUCCUCUUACCUAGCUGGGUUUUUCUUCUUAAUUACUGAAGUUUUGACUGAAUACAUACUUCAUUUUCAGUCACAUUCUUGAAUGUGUGUGUGGCUUUUUUGCAUGCUGAGAAACACGUGCUACGGUCGACCUGCUGGGCUGCGUUUCGUCCCCAGUCCAUUCGUAGGGCGCAGGGAUUGUGAGGGAAGGUCCUUCUGGAUCUGCACGUUGCCUUAGGAGCCGUUGAAAGACUGCUGGUGUGGACAUGUUAGUGUUGCAAAGUUGUACAUCAAACUGUGAGAUAAACCAAAGUUGCCCUGAAAAAAAUGAAGGUAAUGUUGUAUUAUGUUAGAUGCCAUCGUAACUCAGGCAAAUGCAAGUCAUAGAGGAAGGUGCUUAAACACCAAAGGAAAAGCAAACGUGCGUGUGUUACAGGUGAUAUAGUGAGUUCGUUGGUCUUCGCUGGCUCCAUUAACUCAGAGGAACUCCCACCUGAAUCGGCCCGGUUUCACUGAGGAUUUCAGGGAGCUGGAACCAGGUAAAUGCUCAGACCUGGUUUGUGCCCCCGAGUGAGGCAAGGCAGAGGGAGUGAUCUGCUUCGUGCUGAAGGGCUGCAAGCGUCUCCAGACCGUAAGCGCGGGGAGGGGGAGGAUUGCUCCUUCCUUACUGGGGAGUGGGGCAUUAAGCCCUGCAAAUGACUGGUGUGCCAUCUCUCCGGCACCCAGCACCUGCCCAGAUCCAGCACGUGGCUGCACCAGACCAGGCACUGACCCUCUCUUGGAGCACAUCUGUAUGCUGGAUCGGUCCAAAACUACAUGAUUUUCUAGACAUACUGUAGUUAAGGCCUUAGUAAAAAUGUCAAGAUUCAUCUUUGAUAAGGUAUUCCUCAAAACAGAAAUGAUCUUUCCUUGAGAAAUCAUGUAGCUAAAUUACAGCAAAACCUACUUUAAGUAACCAAAAUAGGGCAUGCAGCUUGGCUAAUGCUCCACUUUAUUAUAGAGUAUAGUCAUGGGAAUGGUGUAGAUUUGUCUCUGUUGUCUUCUUGCUGAUCUAGGCCUGGUCCAGCAAAACAAGCACCUGAUGACAGGAAAAAAAUAAAACUGGAGGAUUCAUGUCAGUGUGUCAUAAAAAUGUACUUGUGGAAGCUGCUAAAUGUGUGUUACUGGGAGCAGAGUGCCGUAAUCCCAAAGGCUUUAAAUCUGCGUCUUUAAAAGAGCUAACCGGGGUGCAUGUUUAACUGAACUAUUUAGCUCCAACCGUGUAUUAUAGCUGGAGUUUCAAAAAUUAAUAGUAAUUGUUCUUUAUUUUAUAGACAAUCUGUUUUUGAGAGACCUUGGAGGUCCUUGACUUCCUGAGCUCGGCCUGUUCAGCACUUUCUGGAAGCAAAACUCUGCUGUUGCUGCAGUAAGCUUUUUAAAGUCUCAGCCAAUUUGCAGCUGUACAAACUUAUCGGCAGACAGAAACGCAUAGAUAGAGACGCACACGUGUUACAUAUCCUAUAUACAGGAUACAGAACAGGAGGCAGUGGUUGUCUCCUGAACAAGGCGUGCAGUUCUCGGUGCCUCAAGUGUUUCUUUCUCAUUUAACCACAAACAAACGUAGGGUCUGUCUUUCUGACGGAAGGGGCUGCAUUUUAUGCAAUGUGUAUGCUUGCCUGUCAGCCACCUCUUUCCCUAACGUGUCCAAACGGUUGGAACAUUUCUGUCCCUGUUGUUUUUAAUUGAAGACAGAGCUGUAUUUUUUGCUGAACGAUUCACUUCCCACAACUGUUACUACUUCGCCAGCCUACCCUGAGGUUGCAGGAGCGACUGAGAUGUCCUCAGAGAAGCAGGCAGGGAAACGACCUGUAAGUCAUUACUGUUGUAAGCUGCAUGGAGAACUUUGGAUCUUGAAAGGUAAGAGCGUUUCAGAUAAAUCUCCACAAUGUUGGCACAGAUGUUUAAAGCAUUGCUUAAAUCCCUUGAUUAACCCAGUUUCUCAAUAUUUGACAUAAAUCAAUAACUGAGAUUUCUUUGCUGUUCUCUAGCUUUGUAAAUAUUUAUCCAUCCAGUCCCAUGAAAUAUGACAAUAUUUAAUCCUGUUGAAGUAAUUCUUUGUAUGCUGCAUAUGAAGAGAUAUAAUAGUUCCAGUGAUGCUAGUUAAACAAUUGGCACUAAGGAUGAAAUCUGCUGCCUUUCUUUUGCAAAUAACUGGGAUUUAUACGCUGUAAAUGUGAGUGAAUGGAAAGUAAAAUCCACCUUCUGUCACAGCACUUGGGCCAGCUGCUGGGAAUGCAAAUUUCCUGGUUCUGGCUUGCGCCUGAGCCUACGGCUCAGCCUUAACAGCAGCCUUUUGUACCAAUUAAAUGAGGUACUGAGAGCUAGAUCGGGGUAAACAGCGAAAGGAUGGCACUGCUGUUACUUGUCCUCAGCCUUGCGAGGAGGUACCAUGUUUUACCGUACUUGCCUGUGCACCCUGGGCACGAGGAAGAUGCUCUGCCCGCGGUUUCCGCGACCUGGGGAAGCCUUGGUGCUGGCCCUGCUGCCUGUGGCUGAGAUUCCUCCUAACGUGCCGGUUUGCAGCAGGUGUGCUCCUCGUCUCUAGGUACUGCAGAAGUGGAAGGGCCUGAGGAUGACGAGGAAGGGGAGAAGCAUUACAGUGGCACAAGAUGCCUCAAGUUCAUCAGCAGGACUUUGGAAGUGCAUCUUCCUUCAGUUAUUAUUUGUUCUUAAAAGAGGGAAUAACGUUUUGUCAUCCACAUCGGAGGAGCAGUUUUUCUCUCCUUUGAUACGCAGCAGCACUCAGGAGUCCUCGUCGCAGGAAGCAGCCAGAGAGCAGAGGCGGCGAGAGGGCAGGUUCGGGUGGCUCGCACCAAGCCCUGCGGGCGCGUGACGACCCCCCUGCACCCCCCCGGGGACGGGGCAGGGCCGCGCAAGAAGAAGCAGCUGACAACAGCUGCUGACAGAUGAGUCCUGGAGAGGGUUGAAGCCGCGGCGCUUACGGGAACUUGGGAGUUUGCGAUGACCUGAGCUCACCACGGUGUCAGCUCUGCCUGUGCUCCCUCGUUGCUGUCUGAACUGCAGCUCUGAAUCCAAAUGUCUCCGGCCCUGAAGCGUUUGCAAUCCAGACGGAGUGGGGCAUCCUUCUGUCAGUAACAUGCUGUCCUCGUGGUGCACAGGGGAGUAUGCGAAAUCUACAGGAGGCCCCUAAGAGAAUCCCUCUACUGCACCUGACUUCAGCGAAGGCGCGGAGGGGCAGCCCCUGCCCCAGAAACCCCUCCGACGCGUGGGCGCCGGCCCGCACCUCCACGCAGAUUCGGUGUCAGCAGCGGUCCCAAACACCCACGACGAGGGAGGAAUCCCCCCGGCUGCUGCCUUCCUGCCGCUCCGACCUCAGGGAAAGCGGCGAGCUCCGGGCACGCCGUUACCGCUGGGCUGCGGAGAAGCAGCCGUGUUGCUCUGUCCAACGCAAGGCCGCUCGCGCCUCUCCAGGGAGCGCUGAUCCGAGCCCAAAGGGGUGGAAGAUGAUCCCAUGGAAUUAGCUGUUCCCUCUCUUUUUCCUGCUUGAGAGGUAAGAGCUGCACAAGUGCCUUCCUUAAUAAUCACCUAGGAGAGAAUAUAAUGACUGAUCUAUCACCAAAGAAUUUAGAGCUGAUGACGAUAUCUUCUCCCCCCCAGCUGUGAUUUUUAAACAAAAGCCAUAAAUCACAGGGAUGUGAAAGCAAUGGGUUGUUUCAUACCAGGCUGUAGCUGCUGGUUAUUCUUGUCCAAAUGUACAGAUAUGCCCUGAUGGUUACUUAUCAAUGACAGUCCGUUCAGGGCUUAACAUUUUUCAGUUUCAUGGCAAACCUGCAAGGUUAAACAUAUAUAUACUGAAUGAAACAUAGUCCAUUGGUUAUUUUUAGAAAGGCUCCAAACAAGAAGCAAAUCCCUGGAGUAAUGUUGCCAGAGAUGGGGGAAGUUCAAAUCCAAAUUAAAGCUUCCUAUCUUUGGCCCAAGUUCCAACCUGAACUUUAGGAAAAGCUGAGGUCUGUACCUUGAAUUUUAUGACACAAAAUCCCCUUUAACUAGUUUCAGUUACCUGAGAAUAUAAGAACAUGGUAUACCCACUUGAAAAUUAGCACUUGAAAGGAAAAUCUGAACAUACAUGUAAGAGUGCAGUACCCAAUCUUGUGAGAUAGCGUCGUAUAACUUUGACUCAUGGUAGCUGCAAGGAAUUUGGUGAGUGUGAUUUACUAUGAUUUCUCAUUCUUAUACAGUCUUAAGAGAUCAAGUCCUACAACGUAACUGUAAACUUCGGAGGGUAAGAAGAACCUGCUUAUUUACCAUGCAGAUCUACAUAAUAAUGGCCUCAAAUAUUUAACAGUCAGUUUGGAAAGCGUACCAGAAUACAAUAUAAAGAAAGUAGACCCCUUUGCAGCAAUGUACUUACGCAAAGUAGUUGAAAGUAGCACAAGUGAAGCAUGGGCUUGAUUCUUUGCUGAAUCAGAGCCUGCAUCUUCUUCCUGCCAAGGCUGCGAUCUUAGCACCGCUACUAAAUGCGCUAGUAAUUCUAGAAGCUCUAAUGAAAGUCAAGAUAACUCCACGGAUUUUAUAAAUAAGGGUCUUUAUUUAGAAUACUGUUGAAAACAUUCUUGGCAACCACAGUGUAUAAAUAUAUAAAGUUAAAGUUUUGCACGACAAACCAAGCAACAUUAAAUAUUUUGUUUUUAUUUUUUCUUUUUUACUUUUGUUUUUUUCUUUUUUUCUGCAAAGCAACUCUUAUUUACAAUUAUACAAAAAGUUCUAUAAAAAGUGGUCCACAACCUUAUUUUGGCCAGAACAGGGGUAAUAGAAAGGAUGUGUCAUGCCAUUACUCUAAAGACUUGUGGAUUUCUUUUCUCCCCUGCUUUCAACAGCCAGGUUCCUAUUCCCCAAAAGCCCAGAUUAAACAUUGGCCAUUUCAUGGUAUACAGUUUUAUCUCCAGACACAUUAAAUAACUGUAGUUUAACAACCAAUAAAUAACUAGAUGUAUUUUGAAGGAA
Dromaius novaehollandiae (emu) is the source of this 8155-nucleotide long non-coding RNA. RefSeq lists it as uncharacterized. Lineage: Eukaryota; Metazoa; Chordata; Aves; Casuariiformes; Dromaiidae. The record is from RefSeq and is a predicted model, not a curated record. The transcript has 7 exons.